Molecule: long non-coding RNA, 340 nt
Filed under: Elaeis guineensis (African oil palm)
Lineage: Eukaryota; Viridiplantae; Streptophyta; Magnoliopsida; Arecales; Arecaceae
Description: long non-coding RNA (EGUI_LNC017249)
Source: RNAcentral
ACUAGAACUCCUAUAUUUUGACUUCAUUACAAUAAGAACCAUAAUAUUAUUUUAGAUCUAUGAUGUCCAAUAUUAAAAGAAUAAGAAUGUAAUGAUAAAUGAUUCACAUAAGUAGCAUAAUCCUCAUAAGAUAAAUGAUAUAAGAUUAAGGAUUUAAAUGCAUAAAUAGUAUCAAAAAUUCAACUACCAUCGAUCAUAGUUAAUCUCAUUCAAAGAUAAAUAUUAAAUACAUCCCACAAACUCAAAUAUCUUUAAAAAAGUUUCAUAAACUAUUAAGUAGAAUAGUUUAGUUGAAUUAAAUAACAUCAUACAACAAACUUCAAUGCUCCAAUCAUCCUGA